GUGAUUAUAUAUAGAUAUGAGAUUUGUGCAUAUUUUUGGACAUGAAAAGGUGAUUGCACAGAAAUUAAUCACCAAGAUUUUCUUUUUGAGAAUCUCUGGAACUUGUAUUAAUGUAAUGUUAUCAUUUAAUGAUUAUUUUGGUAAGCAAGGGGUAUAUUACCCUCACAUUCAUAAUUUCAAAAAGAUGAAGUAUUUUUUCAGCAAAAAUUAUUCAUUUGAAACUAAAUAUGUGCUAUUCAAUUACUUAAAAUAUAACAAAAGAAAUACAUAUUUUUGGCAGAGUUCUAGGUGAGGAAAAUAACAAAGGGACAUUUUUAGAAUAUAUGGGAUUCCUUGUUCCCUCAUCAGUUCAUUCAGAAAAAUGUCAAAUAACAGAAGUAUUACUGCCACCAGGUCUGGGUGAAAUGUUACCAAGGGCUUUCCCACGAUCUGACCACUCCCCUGCUGCAGUCAGGAACAAAGAAGCCUUUGCCACACAAAGGUCUGCUCUGUGAGUGAUUCAGAGUGUGUGCUGGCCCUCGCCCCUAUGAGGACUCAAGGACUCAGCCCUGGGGUCCACAAAAAUGGUAUCAUUUCAGCUACAACUUAAAAAGCCUAAAACAAGUCAGGUUUGCUUUGCUUAGGUUUCAUGUGUCUCGAUUUGAUGGAUAUCCACACAUGCAAAUAUACUAAGAGAAAUUUACCUAGUAAUUCCUCCCCUUUGAAGAUAUGGAAAUCACUUUGUCUCAUGGCUCACAUGUCACUAAAUCAAUUCACUGAAUUUCACUGACAGGGAAACAUUUUCAGUCUGUGGUCUAUGUCCAUAUGCUCUUCCAUUUUACAGUUUUCCAAACGUCAUAGAGGCAUGGUUUCUGUUGCCACAACUAAUACUAAACUACAACUUCAGUGCGGGAUAGAGUUAGGGUAGGGCUGGGAACAGGGAUGUGUGGGAAAUAAGCCAGUACUAGUGCAAAGAAGUAAACUAAUUCAUGUCAAUUUUUGCCUUGAAAAUAUAUAUCACAUUUUCCAAUAUUAAUGGAACAAUAACAAAAAUAAUUGUGAAAUAGAGUACAGUGAAACUGUCAAUUAGAUCUAGAUAUAAAAGUAGUACAGGCAACAUUUUCUGAGGUCAAUAUAAGAAAAUAAGCUACUACCGGCUGGGCACAGUGGCUCACACUUGUAAUCCCAGCACUUUGGGAGGCCGAGGCGGGCGGAUCACGAGGUCAGGAGAUCGAGACCGUCCUGGCUAACACAGUGAAACCCUGUCUCUACUAAAAAUACAAAAAAAAAAAAAAAAAAUUAGCCAGAGUUGGUGGCAGGUGCCUGUAGUCCCAGCUAUUCAGGAGGCUGAAGCAGGAGAAUGGCGUGAACCCGGGAGGUAGAGCUUGCAGUGAGCCGAGAUCGCGCCACUGCACUCCAGCCUGGGCAACAGAGCAAGACUCAGUCUCAAACAAAAAACAAAGAAAAGAAAAUAAGCUACUACCACUUUUAAUUGUCUCUCAUAAAUAAUUUGAUGUAGGAGUGAAUUCAAAAUCAUUUAGAAGAAUAUAAUAUGACAAUGACAAAUUAUACACACCGUAAUAUACAGGAUACUUCUGGAUCUGUACUCAGAGUAUAACUCCUAAUUUUAAAUACUAAUGUAUAUUGUCUUAAAAACAAAGAGCCUAAUUAACUAGGUAUUCAAACCUAAAUUUUAAAAAGACCACAACAUGAACACAUGCACACAUAUACACAAACACAUACAAACACAACUAAAGUAAGCAGGAGGAAUUAGGAAAUAUUAAACUAAAAAUUUGUUGAACAGAGAAUGAAAAUGUAAAGGCUGAUUUUUUUUUUGUAAAAAUAAUUAGUAAACAGAUAAACCACUAACUUAAAAAAUAAAGGAUAAAGUGCAAUUAAAAUAGGAAAUGUUAAUCAGAGGUAAUUAGAGCUAAAAAGACACUAAAGAAAUGGGAAAUAAAUCCUUGUUAUACCUGAGGGAAAUGUACUUGAAAAUAUGAAACAAAAUUUAACAGUUUCAACAUAAAUAUAAAUUUCCAAACAUCAAUCCAGAAGACAAAUCUAAACGAACCUAUUACUAACAACAACAAAAAAAGAAGUUGUCUAAAAUUCACUUACUCCCUACUCCACACAGAAAGAAACAGAAGACAUUAUCCCCUGAAAUUUACUUAAACAUUUAAUUAAAUAUAUUGCAAUGCUGUAUAAACCAUUUCUUAGUCCAUUUGAGCUACUGUUAAAAAAUAUCAUAAACUAGGUGGCUUAUAAGCAACAUAAAUUUAUUUCUCACAGUUCUGGAGGCUGAGAGGUUUAAGAGCAUGGCACCGGCAGCUUGGUUCAUAGAUGACCAUCUUCUUAGUGUCCUCACAUAGUGGAAGGCACUACCAACCUCGUUGGGACCCCUUUAAUUGUGCUGUUUUAAUGUACAAUAAAAUGUAUUAAAAACUAAAUAAUUACAUAAAUAUAUUUGUUUUCUUUUUUAUGGGUAGUUUGUUUUUCAGUGGAGAAGUGCUUGAAGCAAUGUCAUAUGAUAACGUUAUAGUGAAAGUUUUAUGCAAGUUCAUCAAGAAUACAAUACAAACGAUGAGGGAAUCACAGUUGUGGGGGCUUAGACACAAAGCUGUAUAUACCAUUUGAGCUGGCAAAUUGGAACCUCUUUUAUUAAGGGCACUAAUUCCACAUAUGAGGCCUCCACCGUCAUGACUCCAACACCUUCCAAAGGUCCCAUCUCCUAAUACCAUUACCUUAGAGAUUAGAUUUCACCGUAGAAAUUUUGGAGAUACACAGACAUUCAGUAUACAGAACUGCUAUGGUAUGGAUAUGGUUUAUUUAGCCCGCCAAGUCUCCUGUUGAAAUUUGAUCCACAGUGUUGGAGGUGGGGCCCAGUAGGAGGUGUUUGAGUAAUGGGAGCAGAUCCUUCAUGAAUGGCUUGCUGCUCUCCUCACGAAAGUGAGUGAAUUUUCACUCUGAAUUCCCAUUAGAACUGGUUGUUGAAAAGAGCCUAGGCUGGGCACAGUGGCUCAUGCCUGUAAUCCUAACACUUUGGGAGACAGAGGCAUAAGGAAUGCUUGAGGCCAGGAGUUUGGACCAGCCUAGACAACAUAGUGAGACCCCAUCUCUAUAAAAAAAAUAGAAACAAUUAACCAGACAUGGUGGUACAUGCCUGUAGUCCCAGCUAAUCAGGAUGUUGAGGAGGGAGGACUGAUUGAGCCCAGGAGGUCGUGGCUGCAGCGAGCUAUGAUUGUACCACUGCACUCCGGUCUGGGCUGCAGAGUGAGACCCUGUCUCUAAAAAAAUAGGAAAAGAACCUGGCAACUCCUUUGCCUUCUCUUUCAUGAUGUGAUGUCUUCUCCUCUUCCUCUUUCAUCAUGAGUGAAAACUUGCUGAGGCCCUCACCAGAAGCAGAUAUUGG
Molecule: long non-coding RNA, 3388 nt
Filed under: Homo sapiens (human)
Lineage: Eukaryota; Metazoa; Chordata; Mammalia; Primates; Hominidae
Description: HSALNT0379831
Source: RNAcentral